CUGCCUCCCUUAACAAUCCAAUGUAGGAAACAGCUCUAUAUCUGCACCUGGAAGAGAGGGGGAGCUAGCAGGCCAGUGCUGGGAUCAGAGUAGUCCCCAGCAGCUACUCCAGCAAAGGAAGAUGAGGCUCUCUGGAUCAGGGCCAUGGGAAUGCCAGAAAGGCUCCAAUGCUAUACGAGAUCCACACCCUUCUACUGCUUGCCAAGGACACAGUUCGUGGUAAAGCACCUUAAAAGGAGGUCCGGAUUCUUCAGCCCUGAUGAAUGGAAAAAGAGAUGAAAAGUAGCAAUGAGAGACUGAUUCUGAACACAGCAGAAUUGAGAGAGUUUUGACUGGACCCAGUGGUACACCCGACUUCUACAGUUUGUGAAUCAUUUCCUGCAACUACUUUGUGAACAGUGAAUGAAGAGAAAGAGAGUACGUAUGCCAGUUGAAAAAGCAAAGAUGAAAGUACAUCAUCUGCCCCAGAUCAAUUUCAGUAAUUAUUUAGAAAUUAUUUCACAAACUCAAUUGCAAAGUGAACACAGGCUCUCAUACAGAAAUCCUGUCAAUCGUAGAAUUUCACAAAUGUACAUAUAUGUACAUCCAUCCAACGAAGCAAUGGAUUCAUGCCACUAAGGAAUUGAAUAUUAAUGAAGUCAUUUGAUACACUGAAUUGAAAGCAAUUAUCCAUUUCCAUCUGAUUCAUCUUGCUGCUACCAGGAAUAAUAUCCAUGUUCAACAAUGUUCAUCUACAAAACCACAAAUAGAAAAUUAGAAAGUUUUCAACACAUUCCAAAACUAUUAUCUGGUAUCAGUACAAGAGUUGGUAAAAUGUAUAAGCAGUAUGUGCCAAUUUCUUAUUAAAAUAUUUGACGUGACUUGUUUACCAAUGAGGCAGAAACUAAGGGGUUUGACAGGUAUUUAAAAACAGAAAGGAAUGCAAACAUUCUUAUUUACCUUGUCUUUCCAAUAACAUAGAAGAUUUUUAAUAUCAAGAUACUAUGAUUGUAACAGAAUAUACUUCUACAUAACUCCAGAAAUCUUAGCAUGCAAUUCAGUUUGUUAAGACUAUUUUUUCUACUUGUCUUUAACUAUAUUCUGAUGUUAGAGAGGUUUUUUUUUAGCAACAUCUGCUUGUUUAUUUCCAUGUUUAAAAUUGUAAACUGUUUUUUGUUCCUUGGCAGAAAGCAGUAUAGAAAUGUACAAAAUAAAGAAAUUUAAUACCACCA
This is a long non-coding RNA of Varanus komodoensis (Komodo dragon), 1211 nucleotides long. RefSeq lists it as uncharacterized. Lineage: Eukaryota; Metazoa; Chordata; Lepidosauria; Squamata; Varanidae. The record is from RefSeq and is a predicted model, not a curated record. The transcript is spliced from 5 exons.